CAGCACCUCAAGUGGUCAGGAUGAUUAUUGGGCCCAAAGCAUCCGUAGCCGGCGCUGUAAGUUUCCGGUUAAAUCUGUACGCUCAACGUACAGGCUGCCGGGAAUACUGCAGCGCUAGGGAGUGGGAGAGGUAGACGGUACUCGGUAGGAAGGGGUAAAAUCCUUUGAUCUAUUGAUGACCACCUGUGGCGAAGGCGGUCUACCAGAACACGUCCGACGGUGAGGGAUGAAAGCUGGGGGAGCAAACCGGAUUAGAUACCCGAGUAGUCC
This 270-nucleotide ribosomal RNA is filed under the name uncultured archaeon. RNAcentral describes it as "partial 16S ribosomal RNA". It matches the Rfam family "Archaeal small subunit ribosomal RNA", at positions 477 to 747 of the family's 1478-position model. The record is from RNAcentral.